UGGGGGUUGUCACUCAGUGGUAGAGCGUGUGCCUAGCAUGCAUGAGGCACUGGGUUCAAUCCUCAGCUCCACAU
This 74-nucleotide transfer RNA is filed under the name Marmota monax (woodchuck). Its description in RNAcentral is "tRNA.Ala". It matches the Rfam family "tRNA". From Rfam's summary of the family: Transfer RNA (tRNA) molecules are approximately 80 nucleotides in length. Their secondary structure includes four short double-helical elements and three loops (D, anti-codon, and T loops). The record is from RNAcentral. Lineage: Eukaryota; Metazoa; Chordata; Mammalia; Rodentia; Sciuridae.